CCUGGAGGGUUUUUCCCUUUUUAAAAAAGGAAAAAGCCUGGAGGCCUCUGGAGCUGAGAGAGAAGAGGAGAAGCUUUCAAGGUGGUCUCAACCAGAUUAAUACUGGAAAUCCCAGUGGGUCCCACUCAUCCCCAGCUCCAGAAAAGGGGAGCAAAACUUAAAACCCAAAAAGAACCCACAGGGGAAAACCUGCAGGUGACCCAAGGCACACUGCUGCUGCUGUGUGGCCUUGAAGAAGGGAAAAGCCUGGAGGGUUUUUCCCUUUUUAAAAAAGGAAAAAGCCUGGAGGCCUCUGGAGCUGAGAGAGAGGAGGGGAAGCUUUCAAGGUGGUCUCAACCAGGUUAAUGCUGGAAAUCUCCCAUUUUCAGGCCAGCAGGAGGAGGGAAUUCAGCAGGGACAGCCAGGGAGCAGCUGGGGCUGCAGGAUGGAUGGGGAUGGUCUCCCUCUAGGAGAGAACAUUCACCCAUCUCAGAAUGUCCCAGAACACCCAAAAACCUUCAGCAUUUUCAUGUUUUGGGGUUUUUUUUCAGAGUGGAUACUGUGAAAAGUCAGAAAGGGCCAGGAGUCCUUGAUUUGUGUCCUUCAGAGCAGCCCUGGGGUUGCUGCAGAGCUCUGGGACACCUGACAUCCUGGGCACCUUCAUAUCCUUAUUUUCAUAUCAAAAUAUUUCUCAUUUUUUAAAUUUUCAUUGGAUUUUACUGGCAGCCAGCAGGAAGGGGAAGGGGCCUGCAGUCCAUGGAGUGUUUGUGGGAGGAAGGAGCUGCCUGUGCUCUCCAGUUCCCUGCUCCCUGAUUCCCCAGCUGGGAAUGCCCACCCUGCAGGAGUUUGUCCCUUCAUUUGCUGCCCUUUGGAGCUGCAGCAGCCCUGCUCUGAGGUGGCUGGGCCAGGAUGAGCCCCAAUCCCUUCCUUGGGAGGCUCCUGGUGUUUGCAGGACGGGGCCGCGAGGUUCUGCGGGGAUAAACCGGGAGAAGUUUGGAAGCGCAGAUGGAAAUCUCAAAAGCUCAGACAUCCUCUGGCCACUUCCAAAGCUGCCUGGUGUUAGCCAGAGCUGAAAAGCCUUCCUAGGAGUUUGAUUUCGGGGUAUUUUGAUCUGUUACUUUCGCUUUUGGGCUUAGCUAAAUCCAGGAAACUUGCAGUGGUGUAAUUUUUGAAUCAAGACUAAACACACCCCAAAGUAUUCCUGAACCCAUCAGGAAAGCUGCUGCUUGCUUUAUCUUCCAGGAAUAAUUCAGGCCAGCUCAGGCUUGAACUCAGUCUGGUUUUGCCCCUAGAUAAUGAUUGUUUUUGAGGAAAUAAUGAGAGCAGGCCGUGAUCUUUCCAAAAGGCUGUGACCUGACACACCAAGCUGUGCCAGGAGGUGGAUGGAGAUAAAUUCAGUGAGAGGGGCCAAUGUCUGGAGGCUGGAAGAGCAGCCUGGAGUAUCCAUGGCCUCCAAAAUCUCACACAGACACAUUUUCCCCAGGAAUUAUGGGAUGGAGGUGUUGGAUUCUGCCAUAUCUUGGGAUUUUUCCCUCUAGCAGAGAACAUUCAGCCAUCUCGGGGUGUCCCACAACACCCAAAAACCUUCAGCAUUUUUAUGGUUUGGGGUUUUUUUUCAGGGUGGAUACUGUGAAAAGUCAGGAAGGGCCAGCUGUCCUUGAUUUGCACAGCCAGGGUGAAGAAAUGUGGAUUAAGUGCCUGGUAAAAGCCAAAAAAGGUGUUUUUAAAGAUGAAUCCCAGUCUCUGUCACAGCUGUUGAGCCAGGGUCGAAUUUUCCCAAAUCCAGGUACAGCUGCAGAGCUCUCCAUCCGUUUUUAACCCAAAUUUAUUCCCAGAUCCUGCAUAAACACCUACAGCAUGGACUGUGCCUUCUGGGGGGCUUCUUGCAGGCUUGGGGCUCAAAAUCCAACAUCCCCCAAGCCAGGAUUUGGCUCUGAAUUUUCCCUUUAAAAUCCCUGUGUAAAGUGAAUUUCCAGGGCUCGGCCGCUGUUUUUAUUUUGGUGAAUCCAGUGGUUUGUGCUUGGUGAGAGCUGUCCCUGUGCCAGGGGCUGCUGGAAAUAGUCACAACAUCCAAAAGAGCUGGAAUUCUGCAUUUUUGAAUAGCAAUACAACAAGGGGAAGCUGCUAAAUGGAGCUUCUUGUAAGCUGGAAAUGUGUUGGAGUAAAAUUUGUCAUUUCUUGUAGGAAAAAAAACCCUAAACAACUCUCUAAAAUUGUCCAGAAUCUUCAGUUUAAGGAAUUACAGUUUUAUUGGCAAAGAUCCCUGUUUAGCAUCAAUACAUGGGAUUUCUAGACUUUCUUUCUUAAGGUGUGAAGUCUGCUUUUUCUGGAGAUGGUGGGAAACCUGUAACAACAAUAUUCCUACAUCAUUUUGGCUGGGGAAAAAAACCCCAAACACCAAAAAAUGAGCAAAAAAAAAAAAUGGAAAAGCACCCAGAUCCCAGUGGUCUGGUGUUGAAGAGGGCACAUGAACAUGUUAGGAAGGAGAAGACUUUCCAACCUGCUUUAAUACAAGUCCUUUUUUACUUUAUUUUUAGGAUUUUUUUUUUACAGUAACAUCAUUUGGUUGCUUAACUGUGAAAGUCUCUGCUUUUCCAUCCCUGUGGAAGGCUGAUAUUCCUUCUCAUGUUCUUCUUAUUUAUUAUUGAUCCCUUUCUGGUACAAUCCAAGAGGUGCUGAAGGUAUCUCCCAGCCUGCCCUGGAGCCAUGUGCAGUCCCUGUGGUUUCUCCUACCAGCUGGGAUGGCAGUAGACACCUAAUUAUGAUUUUAAAUUAUAUUUAUAGCAACUUAGAUUAUUUUUCUUUUAGUGUCCUGGUUUGCUCUAGAAUUAGGGAUGGGGAUAAGGAAUUUUGUUUUUAAAAAAAUCGUCAUUUUUUGGAGUUUUCUUUUAACAUCUUGGGGGCUUCUGAAGAAACCUGCUCACUUUUAUGUUUUUAGGAGGGAAGAACGAGGUGGGUUUCUUGUUCCUUUGAGAAGGGAUUGAGUAGCACCAGGGUUCAGUUUAGCUGGUAAAAUGCUCUGUGUCACAUCAUUAAAACCACCCUGAAUUCUGACAAAACAACCACUUUCCACCUGGGAAUUUAAAUCUGGCUGGUGGCAAACUUUGUUUGUCCAAGGCUCGUGCCAGGCUUUUCUCUGUCAGAUUUCCAUGGAGUUUGCUGAGCCCUGGGUGCUCAGGCUGGGCCAGGGCAGGGCUGGGGACAGCCAGGUGUCACCUCUGGGGUGGAGGACACCUGGUCCUGCAGAAAUAAUCCAAUAAUUCGUCUGCAGAAAUAAUCCAGCAUUUCAUCUGCAGAAAUAAUCCAGCAUUUCAUCUGCAGCUUCCUGUUCUCCAGGGGAUGUUGAGGGCAAUCCCUGAAGUGUGGGAGAGAACCAGGACUGGGGGCUCCAAACCCAUCAGGUUUUGUUCUUUUUAUUCCCUUUCUCCCCUUGGAAAGGUGCUUCCAAAGCCUCCCCAGCCUUUCUGCUCAAGAAUAACAGAAUCAGAGAACCACAGAGUCAUUUAGGGUGGGAAAACCUUGAAAAUCAUCGAGUCCAGCCAAAAACUCAGCGCUGCCAAGGCCACCACUAGCCCAUGUCCCCAAGUGCCACAUGGCCACAUUUGAAGCCCUUCCCUGGUGCAGCUGUUUUCAGACAGCUCACACUGCUUCUCUGGUUUGUUUUCUUUCCCCAAACGUAUAAGAAACGUUGGGUAGCAGAAUGUGGAAUUGAUUAGAAGUUCAUAAAGCAGGGACCUCAGAAGGAUGUGGGUAUAAAUGCUUUUCAGGCAUCCGAGGUGAACUUUAAAUGGAGCUUUGGCCCUCAUUUGCUUUCUGCUUUUCAAAAACCAUUUAUGAGAAAGUGGAGCUGUCAAAGCCAUGCAUGAACUUUGCCUUCUUGCAAAUAACUUGUCUCAAAAGUAAAUUGUCCAAAUGCACAAGAAACUUGUCUCAAAGUGAAUCCAGUAGCUCUACAAAGCUGGAAUUGUGUGCAUUAGAAGGGUGUGAGAGGUGUGUGUGUGUGGGUGUGUGUGAGCAUGUGUUGUGCAGGGAGUAACUCAACCAUUUUAAGAUUUACAAAAACACAAUGCAAGUGCUUUUAGAAAAAAAAAAUAAAAAAAGAAAGGCAGUGUAAAAUAUUUAUUUCUUGGCAGAAGUACAUCAGACCACAUCUCCCAUCCUUCUUUUAAUUGCGUGGUGUUUGUUUGUGUUGUCUCAGGCUUUGCUGGUUUCCUCUGCAGGGCUCUGUCACCUCACACAACCCCUCUGUCAGCCGGGGCGCGGGGCAGCUCCAGCCCCUCAGGACAGGCCUGGGCUGCAGGCAGGGAGCAGGGGCAGAGCUGGUGCUGGGUUAAAGGCAGCACAGAGCAGCGGGGCUGAUUUUCAGUUUCCAGCCUUGUGGAGGGAGCUCUUUCCUUGUGAGAAUCCAAAUAACCACAGCACCCAAAUCACAGCCAUGGGGAGGGUGCUUGGCCAGCCAGGGCAGCUUGGAGGGGGCGAGGUGGCACUGGCAUGGCCGUGAGGUGGCACUGGCAUGGCCGUGAGGUGGCACUGGCAGGGCUCUGAGGUGGCACUGGCAUGGCUCUGAGGUGGCACUGGCAGGGCUCUGAGGUGGCACUGGCAGGGCUGUGAGGUGGCACUGGCAUGGCUGUGAGGUGGCACUGGCAGGGCUCUGAGGUGGCACUGGCAGGGCUCUGAGGUGGCACUGGCAGGGCCGUGAGGUGGCACUGGCAUGGCUCUGAGGUGGCACUGGCAGGGCCGUGAGGUGGCACUGGCAUGGCUCUGAGGUGGCACUGGCAUGGCUCUGAGGUGGCACUGGCAGGGCUGUGAGGUGGCACUGGCAUGGCUCUGAGGUGGCACUGGCAGGGCUCUGAGGUGGCACUGGCUGGGCUCUGAGGUGGCACUGGCAGGGCUGUGAGGUGGCACUGGCAUGGCUCUGAGGUGGCACUGGCAGGGCUCUGAGGUGGCACUGGCAUGGCUGUGAGGUGGCACUGGCAUGGCCGUGAGGUGGCACCGGCUGGUUGGCGGUGCCCUGUGGGCUUUGCCCAGGGUUUGGAGCUGCCCUGUGCAGGGUGGGUGCUCCGAGCUCCCGUUCCCAGCCCGGUGCAGGCACUGCCAGGCCCCACCAGUCAGGCACUGCCACACUCACUGCUGUCCCCGUGCUCCAGAGCCCUUCUGAGGUCACCUGGCUGCCCACCUGCACGUCCCUGUGCUGCCUUCACCCAUCUCUGCUGUUCCUGGUGCUCUGGUGACGAGCAGGGGUAGCAGAGUGACAGUAAGACUGUGUGUGUAACAUUUGAGAGGCUUUUACUCCAUGUUGUUGUUGUUUUAAUGAGAUGCUUUUAGGGUCCGUGCUGAACUGGUUUCUUUAACCUUCACUGCCACAGAUUCUUUCUUCCUUUUCUUCACUUCAAUCAGAUUGGCAAAAUACAUUUGGCUUGGGGGAAAAAAACCCCAACCAACCCCAAACCCUGCUGAUGGGAUAAGUUACUCCUCUUUACUGUGCUUUGAUUUGAUUUCUCAGGAUACUCAGAGGUUUUUCACUGCUGCUGAGAGGGGACAGUACACCUUUUUGGAGACUUCAACCACUGUAACAGUUUUCCAGAUGUGUGUGUGCGUGUGCGUGUGUGUAAGCCAGCGCUGUGCGUGCGUGUGUUCUGCUGAAUAUCGUGUGCAUCUCUGAAAUGCUUCAAACAACUGCCUGGAAGUCAAAAACCAACCACCUCUUUCCAGUCAUAUGUUUGCCGUGACUUUUCAUAACCACACUUGAAACUAGUGGUCUUGGAUGGAAAUAUUCAAAGAGCAGGGCAUCUUUAUAGCAAUGGUAUGUCAGUCGAAUUACGGGAAAUGUACACAAAAAUAAAUAAAUGAAAUUUAAAAGUAA
Molecule: long non-coding RNA, 5842 nt
Organism: Zonotrichia leucophrys gambelii
Lineage: Eukaryota; Metazoa; Chordata; Aves; Passeriformes; Passerellidae
Exons: 2
Source: RefSeq, a predicted model, not a curated record